CUCCACUAGUGUGAAAAAACGAAACAGCCUCGCAGCAACAUGAGGACUCUUCUGGUCCUGGCCGCGGUAUUGGCAGUCGCUUGUGCACUCCCUCGCCGACCAAAUCAAAUGGUCGUCCGGGAAAUGCUGGUAUCAACUCCGGGGUCCCUGGAAAUGGUGGCUUCGUCUCUGGAUUUCCUGUGAAUGAAGGACUGAGUCAGGCCUUGCCGGGGUCUGGUUUCGGACAGGGUUACCUAGGCUUCGGCGCUGGAUUCCCGGGCAAUGGCUUCGGUCAGCAGUACCCUAGCAGCAACGGCUUCGGUCAGCUAUUUCCUGGUAACAACGGCUUCGUUCAGCCAUUCCCGGGUAACAAUGGCUUCGGUCAGCAGCUUCCUGGCAACAGCGGCUUUGGCGGUCGGUUCCCAGGAAACGGCUUCCAAGACAUUGGCUUCAACAGACCUCUCCGUAACUCCGGGGAACGAGACGACUCUAACAGUAGCGAGUCAAGAGAAAGGGAUUGAAAUGCCUGUAUGACACCUUGAAUUUUCCUGCGAUGCAUUAAAGAGCUACAAUCUGCAA
Long non-coding RNA from Schistocerca piceifrons (Central American locust), 558 nucleotides. RefSeq lists it as uncharacterized. The transcript has 2 exons. The record is from RefSeq and is a predicted model, not a curated record. Lineage: Eukaryota; Metazoa; Arthropoda; Insecta; Orthoptera; Acrididae.